This 460-nucleotide ribosomal RNA is filed under the name uncultured bacterium. Its description in RNAcentral is "partial 16S ribosomal RNA". It matches the Rfam family "Bacterial small subunit ribosomal RNA", at positions 338 to 795 of the family's 1533-position model. The record is from RNAcentral.
CCUACGGGAGGCAGCAGUGAGGAAUAUUGGUCAAUGGGCGGGAGCCUGAACCAGCCAAGUCGCGUGAGGGACGACGGUCCUAUGGAUUGUAAACCUCUUUUGUCGGGGAACAAAGGCGCCCACGGGUGGGCGGAUGAGUGUACCCGAAGAAAAAGCAUCGGCUAACUCCGUGCCAGCAGCCGCGGUAAUACGGAGGAUGCGAGCGUUAUCCGGAUUUAUUGGGUGUAAAGGGAGCGUAGACGGUGCGCCAAGUCUGGAGUGAAAUGCCGCAGCUUAACUGCGGAACUGCUUUGGAAACUGGCGAACUAGAGUGCGUGAGGGGUAAGCGGAAUUCCUAGUGUAGCGGUGAAAUGCGUAGAUAUUAGGAGGAACACCGGUGGCGAAGGCGGCUUACUGGACCGUAACUGACGUUGAGGCUCGAAAGCGUGGGGAGCAAACAGGAUUAGAUACCCUUGUAGUC